RNAcentral lists this ribosomal RNA (251 nucleotides) under uncultured Bacillota bacterium. Its description in RNAcentral is "uncultured Firmicutes bacterium partial 16S ribosomal RNA". It matches the Rfam family "Bacterial small subunit ribosomal RNA", at positions 90 to 339 of the family's 1533-position model. Lineage: Bacteria; Bacillati; Bacillota. The record is from RNAcentral.
GAUUAGCGGCGGACGGGUGAGUAACGCGUGAACAAGCUGUCCUUCACAGGGGGAUAACACUUGGAAACAGGUGCUAAUACCGCAUAAGACCACAGGGGUGCAUGCUCCAGGGGUCAAAGGAGCAAUCCGGUGAGGGGUGCGUUCGCGUCCCAUUAGAUAGUUGGCGGGGCAACGGCCCACCAAGUCGACGAUGGGUAGCCGACCUGAGAGGGUGAUCGGCCACACUGGGACUGAGACACGGCCCAGACUCC